UUUAGGUUUUAACUCCAACCCUGUUCCUGGAGAGCUACCCUCCUUUAGGUUUUAACUCCAACCCUGUUCCUGGAGAGAUACCCUCCUGUAGGUUUUAACUCCAACCCUGUUCCUGGAGAGCUACCCUCCUGUAGGUUUUAACUCCAACCCUGUUCCUGGAGAGCUACCCUCCUGUAGGUUUUAACUCCAACCCUGUUCCUGGAGAGCUACCCUCCUGUAGGUUUUAACUCCAACCCUGUUCCUGGAGAGAUACCCUCCUGUAGGUUUUAACUCCAACCCUGUUCCUGGAGAGAUACCCUCCUGUAGGUUUUAACUCCAACCCUGUUCCUGGAGAGAUACCCUCCUGUAGGUUUUAACUCCAACCCUGUUCCUGGAGAGAUACCCUCCUGUAGGUUUUAACUCCAACCCUGUUCCUGGAGAG
Long non-coding RNA from Oncorhynchus keta (chum salmon), 421 nucleotides. RefSeq lists it as uncharacterized. The transcript has 3 exons. The record is from RefSeq and is a predicted model, not a curated record. NCBI's taxonomy places the organism in Eukaryota, Metazoa, Chordata, Actinopteri, Salmoniformes, Salmonidae.